Lacerta agilis (Sand lizard) is the source of this 417-nucleotide long non-coding RNA. RefSeq lists it as uncharacterized. Lineage: Eukaryota; Metazoa; Chordata; Lepidosauria; Squamata; Lacertidae. The record is from RefSeq and is a predicted model, not a curated record. The transcript has 4 exons.
UUUAAUUUUACUUUCAAUUGCAGGAAACAUAUAUUGAAAGAAAAAGCUUGAUUUAUGACAUCUCUGUGUGUAAAGUUGAGGCCCAUGAAGUAAUCAAAAUCUGACACCUUCCAAAGGAGUAAGACAAAGCGCUAUGAUCUUCUAUCAGGGUGUGAGCUGUGGAAAUCUUUGCAGUCCAUUGUCAAGAAUGAGCAUCACAGGAAGCAGGAACCUAGACUGCGAGUUGUGCCUCUUAUUCUGUGGAUCAUUUGGAGAAAUACACUCAAAGCAAGAUACUAAUUGAUAUUGGGAGAGAGACAUUCUCAUCUCUGCUUUCAAGAAAGUGGCAUUCUUGAGCCCUCUGAAGGACAGUACUUCAAGGCUGACCGUGCAGCUAAAUUGAACUUCCAUUUACUGUUAUUGUACCAUGGGCUGUAU